RNAcentral lists this ribosomal RNA (882 nucleotides) under marine bacterium enrichment culture clone E05-C3-S7. RNAcentral's name for it is "partial 16S ribosomal RNA". It matches the Rfam family "Bacterial small subunit ribosomal RNA", at positions 74 to 974 of the family's 1533-position model. The record is from RNAcentral.
GGUCCUUCGGGAUACUCGAGUGGCGAACGGGUGAGUAACACGUAUGUAACCUGUCUUUCGGUGGGGGAUAACUCAAGGAAACUUGAGCUAAUACCAAAUACGCUAUAGAGUCCACAGGUUCUAUAGUAAAAUCUUCUUGGCUGAUUGAUGGGCCUGCGCCUUAUUAGCUUGUUGGUGAGGUAACGGCUCACCAAGGCUUCGAUGAGUAACCGGCCUUAGCGGGUGAUCGGCCACACUGGAACUGAAAUACGGCCCAGACUCCUACGGGAGGCAUGACUUAACAAUCUUGCGCGAUGGGGGCAACCCUGACGCAGCGACACCCCGUGGAGGAAGAAGGCCCUAGGGUUGUAAACUCCAAUAGGGAGGGACUAGGAAAGUGACGGUACCUGUUGAAAGCACCGGCUAAAUACCUGCCAUCAGACUCGGUGAUACGUAUGGUGCAAGCGUUGUUCCUAAUCACUGGUCGUAAAGCCCGCCCACGCGGAUUGGUAACUUGGGUGUGAAAUCCCCGGGCUCAACCCGGGGGCUGCUCUCGAAACUGCAAAUCUNGNGUCCUGGAGAGGCANACUGAAUUCCNACUGUAAUGGUGAAAUGCGUAGAUAUCGNGAGGAACACCGAUGGCGAANGCANUCUGCUGGACAGUGACUGACGCUCNAGCGCGAAAGUGUGCGGAGCAAACAGGAUUAGAUACCCUGGUAGUCCACACCCUCAACNUUGUCNACCAGUCNUCUGGUGUGUCNACCCCCCUCGGGGACGCACCUAACAGAUCUANNCNACNNNNUANNNACUAGGCUCUCAACAGUGAAACUCANANGAUUNACAGNUCGNCCGCACNAGCANAGCANUAUCUGGNUUAGNUCUNUGAUGNNNNAANANCCNNAC